Molecule: ribosomal RNA, 487 nt
Filed under: uncultured Methanosaeta sp.
Lineage: Archaea; Methanobacteriati; Methanobacteriota; Methanomicrobia; Methanotrichales; Methanotrichaceae
Description: bacterial SSU rRNA
Rfam family: Archaeal small subunit ribosomal RNA
Source: RNAcentral
AACUACAAAGGAAUUGACGGGGGAGCACCACAACGGGUGGAGCUUGCGGUUUAAUUGGAUUCAACGCCGGAAAUCUUACCGGGACCGACAGCAAUAUGAAGGCCAGGCUGAAGACUUUGCCGGAUUAGCUGAGAGGUGGUGCAUGGCCGUCGUCAGUUCGUACUGUGAAGCAUCCUGUUAAGUCAGGCAACGAGCGAGACCCACGCCCACAGUUGCCAGCGUACUCUCUGGAGUGACGGGUACACUGUGGGGACCGCCGCUGCUAAAGCGGAGGAAGGAAUGGGCAACGGUAGGUCAGUAUGCCCCGAAUAUCCCGGGCUACACGCGAGCUACAAUGGUUGGUACAAUGGGUAUCUACCCCGAAAGGGGACGGGAAUCUCCUAAAACCAAUCUUAGUUCGGAUUGAGGGCUGCAACUCGCCCUCAUGAAGCUGGAAUCCGUAGUAAUCGCGUUUCAACAGAACGCGGUGAAUACGUCCCUGCUCCUU